AUAACCUUUGCAUGCCCCUCACCCCUCCACCUCUGCACAUAUACACACCCACUCACAUACACCUAUUCUGCUCUUGUGGGACCCCUGUACCGCAAAUGACAAGCAGUUUCCCACUGUGGGCGGCAAAAGGACGGCCUCACAGCACACUCUGUCAACUGUUUCCCUCACUCAAGAAAGCUCUGCAUACUUCUGUUUUUCAAAUGUACUGUAUCUGGUUUUGCUUUUUGAAUAAAACAAAUGUGAAAAAGAUCAGGAAAAUAACUGAAUCACGGUUCAACUAGGUCUCCUACUGUGAAGAACUACAUGGAAAGGUCUGCUUAUGCAAUAAAGUAAGAAACUGA
Molecule: long non-coding RNA, 341 nt
Organism: Micropterus salmoides (largemouth bass)
Lineage: Eukaryota; Metazoa; Chordata; Actinopteri; Centrarchiformes; Centrarchidae
Exons: 2
Source: RefSeq, a predicted model, not a curated record